This 118-nucleotide ribosomal RNA is filed under the name Aotus nancymaae (Ma's night monkey). The record is from RNAcentral. Lineage: Eukaryota; Metazoa; Chordata; Mammalia; Primates; Aotidae.
ACGGCCGGCCAUACCACCCUGAACACGCCCGAUAUCGCCUCUGAUAUCGGAAGCUAAACAGGGUUGGGCCUGGUUAGUACUUGGAUGGGAAAUCCUUUAUCAUUUUGUAAUGUUCUUC